Ornithodoros turicata is the source of this 1514-nucleotide long non-coding RNA. RefSeq lists it as uncharacterized. The record is from RefSeq and is a predicted model, not a curated record. The transcript has 3 exons. Lineage: Eukaryota; Metazoa; Arthropoda; Arachnida; Ixodida; Argasidae.
AUUUUCACCCUGAUUUUCAUAAGUCUAACACCCAGCACAAGGCCCUAAUUUACGCACUAGCUAGCAUUUAUAUUGUGGUGUGUGACACUCGCAUAAUUGUAGGUUGCUUGGAGCAGGUGAGCUGGAUCAGCUGUAGUGAUGAUGGUAGUGUCUGUGCUCCUGAACUGACCUUGACAAACUCGUGACAAAAUGUGGACUACAGAUACAAGACAAGUGGGAUAUGACAGCUCAUGCACACCAUGACAGGGGCAACAGAUGAAAAUUAUGACCGUGAUUGCCAGGUAGGAUACCACUGGGAAGCCAGUAUGUGAUAUGUCAUUGCAUAUGUUAUGUAGGCAAACUGAGGAAACGUCAGUAUAAUUCAUUAUCACAGAUGACAACAAAAUGGUGCAAUGCGAAGAAUGGUCUGUUUUUAAUUGUGGCUGCCUUCUCACUGAAGAUAAGUAUUGCACGUACAUACAAUCUUAUACAUAUAAAAUAUAGUAGGUUACAAUGACUUGAGAAACAACACAGUGUGACAUUGGUAUAAUUAUCUGUUGCAGGUACAUUAUGAAGGCAAACUGAGCAAACAUGGAUAUAGUUGGAUGUGAUCACAGAUGAAGCAAGAAUGGCACAUCUAUGCAAAGAAUGACAAGAGUGGAAUGAACUUUUGUUCCAUGAAAUAUGGAUUCCUUCCCACACAAGGUAAGUAUCACAUUUGCACACAUCAUGAAAUUUUCAACAUAUUAUUAGUGACGUCACUUUUAUGGACAUAAGGUUCACAAUUAACCUGCUGCUUCACAAGGUUUGAGCACCUUGAGGAAUUCCAGAGAAAUUAGCAGACUAAUUUUUGAACUGUUGCAAAUUGCGAAUUGACAUCACCAAGUAUAUUUUAGAACAGCUUGAAAAGCUAGAUGAACACACUGGUGUAACUUUGUAGCUUCAGAAGAAGUAAUGCCGUGGCAGUCUGUAAGGAAGAGCUGCACGAAGCUAACUUGCACUAACCUGACUAGAACAAACUAACCUAACCUAAAAUAACUUGAUCUAACACGACAAUGUUCAAAGCGGUCUGCCCCGACAACCUCAGAUGUAUAAACAAUUGGGUCCGUCGGAUCGUCUGUGGUAUGAGGACCUAGACUGUUUCCUAACCUAACCUAACCUAGAGCUGCACGAAGCUAACUUGCACUAACCUGACUAGAAUAAACUAACCUAACUUGACCUAACACGACAUAAUGUUGACCCGACGGACCCCGAUGUAUAAACAAUCGUGUCCGUCCGACGGACCUUUAGACACUUCCUUCUAAGAUAUUACAAAGGCUAAGAUUGAUAUGGUUGAUAAGAGAAAAUGGCACAUUGUGAAGAAUGCGGCUUGGUGACAGUGACGGCUAUAGGCAGUGUGUGCUCGUGGAUAAAUCAAUUAUGGAUGCCUGACUAUGCAGGAUGGUGCCCCAGGCCUUGACCACCAUGGCGGAGAUGAAGCUGCGUGUUCACCUGUACAGAAAGGAGACUGUAUGUACAAGACUGGGACAUUGUAC